This 495-nucleotide ribosomal RNA is filed under the name Veillonella dispar. RNAcentral's name for it is "bacterial SSU rRNA". It matches the Rfam family "Bacterial small subunit ribosomal RNA", at positions 28 to 493 of the family's 1533-position model. Lineage: Bacteria; Bacillati; Bacillota; Negativicutes; Veillonellales; Veillonellaceae. The record is from RNAcentral.
GACGAACGCUGGCGGCGUGCUUAACACAUGCAAGUCGAACGAAGAGCGAUGGAAGCUUGCUUCUAUCAAUCUUAGUGGCGAACGGGUGAGUAACGCGUAAUCAACCUGCCCUUCAGAGGGGGACAACAGUUGGAAACGACUGCUAAUACCGCAUACGAUCUAAUCUCGGCAUCGAGGAAAGAUGAAAGGUGGCCUCUAUUUAUAAGCUAUCACUGAAGGAGGGGAUUGCGUCUGAUUAGCUAGUUGGAGGGGUAACGGCCCACCAAGGCGAUGAUCAGUAGCCGGUCUGAGAGGAUGAACGGCCACAUUGGGACUGAGACACGGCCCAGACCUCCUACGGGAGGCAGCAGUGGGGAAUCUUCCGCAAUGGACGAAAGUCUGACGGAGCAACGCCGCGUGAGUGAUGACGGCUCCGGGUUGUAAAGCUCUGUUAAUCGGGACGAAAGGCCUUCUUGCGAACAGUUAGAAGGAUUGACGUACCGGAAUAGAAACACG